Molecule: ribosomal RNA, 740 nt
Filed under: uncultured bacterium
Lineage: Bacteria
Description: bacterial SSU rRNA
Rfam family: Bacterial small subunit ribosomal RNA
Source: RNAcentral
AGAGUUUGAUCAUGGCUCAGAGCGAACGCUGGCGGCAGGCCUAACACAUGCAAGUCGAGCGCCCCGCAAGGGGAGCGGCAGACGGGAGAGUAACACGUGGGAACGUACCCUUUGGUUCGGAACAACCCAGGGAAACUUGGGCUAAUACCGGAUAAGCCCUUACGGGGAAAGAUUUAUCGCCGAAGGAUCGGCCCGCGUCUGAUUAGCUAGUUGGUGGGGUAGUGGCCCACCAAGGCUACGAUCAGUAGCUGGUCUGAGAGGAUGAUCAGCCUCACUGGGACUGAGACACGGCCCAGACUCCUACGGGAGGCAGCAGUGGGGAAUAUUGGACAAUGGGCGCAAGCCUGAUCCAGCCAUGCCGCGUGGGUGAUGAAGGCCCUAGGGUUGUAAAGCCCUUUCGGCGGGGAAGAUAAUGACGGUACCCGCAGAAGAAGCCCCGGCUAACUUCGUGCCAGCAGCCGCGGUAAUACGAAGGGGGCUAGCGUUGCUCGGAAUCACUGGGCGUAAAGCGCACGUAGGCGGAUUGCUAAGUCAGGGGUGAAAUCCUGGAGCUCAACUCCAGAACUGCCCUUGAUACUGGCGACCUCGAGUCCGGGAGAGGUGAGUGGAACUGCGAGUGUAGAGGUGAAAUUCGUAGAUAUUCGCAAGAACACCAGUGGCGAAGGCGGCUCACUGGCCCGGUACUGACGCUGAGGUGCGAAAGCGUGGGGAGCAAACAGGAUUAGAUACCCUAGUAGUCC